UACGGGGGGGGCAAGCGUUGUUCGGAAUUACUGGGCGUAAAGGGCUCGUAGGCGGCCAACUAAGUCAGACGUGAAAUCCCUCGGCUUAACCGGGGAACUGCGUCUGAUACUGGAUGGCUUGAGAUUGGGAGAGGGAUGCGGAAUUCCAGGUGUAGCGGUGAAAUGCGUAGAUAUCUGGAGGAACACCGGUGGCGAAGGCGGCUCUCUGGACCGAGACUGACGCUGAGGCGCGAAAGCGUGGGGAGCAAACAGG
Molecule: ribosomal RNA, 253 nt
Filed under: uncultured bacterium
Lineage: Bacteria
Description: partial 16S ribosomal RNA
Rfam family: Bacterial small subunit ribosomal RNA
Source: RNAcentral